GGGCACUUCAUUGAAUAAGUUGAUAGUCACAGGGAUUCAAUAAAUUCGAAUAGAUUUCUCAAUAAUUGUCAAACUGCUAAAAUAGACGGACGACUCAUGACAGCUUAAUGAACUUAAUUUAAUAUUGUCCAGCUACUGCCCUCGAAGGGGAAAACAAAUAAAAAUAUAACAGAAGCAAAGUAGAAGGAAAGAAAAAGAAAAAGGAGCGUUUGACAAAGAUCCAUCAAACAUGUGCAGCACAUCAAAAGUCUCCUUCCAUUUGAUACUGGUUCACCUGUAAAGUUGGCAAUUCGCACCAAACUCACAAUACUAUAAUGCAAGCCUAAUAAAAAGAACUCUCUUCCAGCUAAUAUCCAUCCCAUCAUCAACCCAUGCAAUCAAUAUCAAAAUCUCUGUUCAAAGUCUUUCUUCUUCAAAGCAACUGCAAGAAUCAUUGCUAUGUUCUAUAAAACUUUCUUUUCAAUCUUCAAUAUCAUUGCAAAAAUAAAAAAAGAAAAAGUAUUCAGCAAACUGAGUGAUAAAUGAGGGGGAAAAAAGCUAUAAACGAAACAACUAAUAAAUUUUCAUCCGCUAGAAACUAGUUCGAGGGCAAAAACUUACUAACAGUAAUAAAGUAUAUGACAAAUAUUAUACAAAAUCCUCACUCUCUUCCCCCCUUCCCUCCACUGCACUCCCUUUUUCACACAGAAGAAAUAAAAAGAAAUGACAACAAAAAGAAACAAACCACCUUUUCUGACCCACCAUAGCCAAAUCAGUAGGCUAGGAACAAUGAAUCCAAUGCAAACAACUUAUAGCUCUGCUGCUCAGGUUUUAGUCCAAUCAGGAAUUAGUUCAUUAAAGAAACGAGCAAAACCAGUAAAUACAAUGAAACCAAGAUACACCUGCGAUGAUUACCUUUCCUUUCGUCUCCUUUUUAGUGCUUAUCAAUCUUCUGUGUUCGUCAUCGAAGAUCAGUUGAUUUAAAUGAGUCUGCAAAGCCAGAGGGCUUUGCAGGAAUACUUGAUUGCGUCUGAGAGUAGGAUAUAUCGUUAAACAAUGAGGAAGAGCUUUCAUCAGCUUGCCAUCUUUGCAGAGCUUGUGGAAGGCUCAUAUGGAGGUCAAUGCCAUAACCUUCGUCUUCUUCACGGCUAGCAGGUCUCCAUUGCUCUACAAGAGGCCCCAACACAUUAACUGCAUGCCCCAUGUCAGGUCUUUGGUAUGGCUCACGAGAAGUGCAAUGUCCUGCUAGCUCAGCCACUCUGUAAAUGCUGGCUAAUGUCUCCUCAUCCAAUUCGAUAGUCUGAUCAAUCACCUUUGGAAUGCUCUCUUUAUUGAUUAGGACCCUGCGAAACCAUGUAACCAGAUGGGCCUUCUCAUCUGGCAAGGUGUCAUCCAGAGCUUUUCUGCCAGUUAUGAUCUCCAUCAAAACAACUCCAAAGGCAUAAACAUCC
RNAcentral lists this unclassified non-coding RNA (1430 nucleotides) under Hevea brasiliensis (rubber tree). Lineage: Eukaryota; Viridiplantae; Streptophyta; Magnoliopsida; Malpighiales; Euphorbiaceae. The record is from RNAcentral.